CUGUGGUAAUUCUAGAGCUAAUACAUGCUUCAAUAUUUCCGACCUUAACGGGGAGGAAGGCUUUUAUUAGACCAGAACCUAUUCGGUGCCGCGGGUUCGCGCUCGCGAGUGCCGGUUUCUUGGUGACUCUGAAUAACUUUGGGCUGAUCGCACGGUCUUUGCACCGGCGACGGGUCUUUCAAAUGUCUGACUUAUCAACUGUCGAUGGUAGGUUAUGCGCCUACCAUGGUUGUCACGGGUAACGGGGAAUCAGGGUUCGAUUCCGGAGAGGGAGCCUGAGAAACGGCUACCACAUCCAAGGAAGGCAGCAGGCGCGCAAAUUACCCACUCCCGGCACGGGGAGGUAGUGACGAAAAAUAACAAUACGGGACUCAUCCGAGGCCCCGUAAUUGGAAUGAGUACACUUUAAAUCCUUUAACGAGGAUCCAUUGGAGGGCAAGUCUGGUGCCAGCAGCCGCGGUAAUUCCAGCUCCAAUAGCGUAUAUUAAAGUUGCUGCGGUUAAAAAGCUCGUAGUUGGAUCCCAGUUGCAGACGGGCGGUCCGCCUCAUGGCGGUUCACUGCCCCGUUCUCGACAUACCUCCGGUUAUAUUUGUCCCGCGAUGCUCUUUACCGGGUGUCGCGGGGGGCCGGUACGUUUACUUUGAAAAAAUUAGAGUGCUCAAAGCAGGCGAUGGCCAGAAUAAUGGUGCAUGGAAUAAUGGAAUAGGACCUCGGUUCUAUCUUGUUGGUUCUUCGGAACACGAGGUAAUGAUUAAUAGGGACGGACGGGGGCAUUCGUAUUGCGACGUUAGAGGUGAAAUUCUUGGAUCGUCGCAAGACGAACUACUGCGAAAGCAUUUGCCAAGAAUGUUUUCGUUAAUCAAGAACGAAAGUUAGAGGUUCGAAGGCGAUCAGAUACCGCCCUAGUUCUAACCAUAAACGAUGCCAACCAGCGAUCCGUCGGCGUUACUUCGAAUGACCCGACGAGCAGCUUCCGGGAAACCAAAGUUUCUGGGUUCCGGGGGAAGUAUGGUUGCAAAGCCGAAACUUAAAGGAAUUGACGGAAGGGCACCACCAGGAGUGGAGCCUGCGGCUUAAUUUGACUCAACACGGGAAACCUCACCAGGCCCGGACACUUGGAGGAUUGACAGAUUGAGAGCUCUUUCUUGAUUCAGUGGGUGGUGGUGCAUGGCCGUUCUUAGUUGGUGGAGCGAUUUGUCUGGUUAAUUCCGAUAACGAACGAGACCCUUUCCUGCUAAAUAGGCAGAAGAUCCUCAUGUAGUGUCUGACGUUCUU
Molecule: ribosomal RNA, 1276 nt
Filed under: Argulus foliaceus
Lineage: Eukaryota; Metazoa; Arthropoda; Ichthyostraca; Arguloida; Argulidae
Description: SSU rRNA
Rfam family: Eukaryotic small subunit ribosomal RNA
Source: RNAcentral